This 439-nucleotide ribosomal RNA is filed under the name uncultured bacterium. RNAcentral's name for it is "partial 16S ribosomal RNA". It matches the Rfam family "Bacterial small subunit ribosomal RNA", at positions 338 to 795 of the family's 1533-position model. The record is from RNAcentral.
CCUACGGUGGGCAUCAGUGGGGAAUAUUGCACAAUGGGGGGAACCCUGAUGCAGCGACGCCGCGUGAGUGAAGAAGUAUUGCGGUAUGUAACGCUCUAUCAGCAGGGAAGAAAUGACGGUACCUGACUAAGAAGCCCCGGCUAACUACGGGCACGCAGCCGCGGUAAUACGUAGGGGGAAAGCGUUAUCCGGAUUUACUGGGUGUAAAGGUGGCGCAGAUGGCUGUGCAAGUCUGGAGUGAAAGGCGGGGGCCCAACCCCCGGACUGCUCUGGAAACUGUAAAGCUGGAGUGCAGGAGAGGGAAGCGGAAUUCCUAGUGUAGCGGUGAAAUGCGUAGAUAUUAGGAGGAACACCAGUGGCGAAGGCGGCUUACUGGACUGCAACUGACGUUGAGGCUCGAAAGCGUGGGGAGCAAACAGGAUUAGAUACCCGGGUAGUC